GACGGAGGGGUCCAAGCGUUGUUCGGAAUCAUUGGGCGUAAAGCGGGUGUAGGUGGCUCUGUAAGUCAGGAGUGAAAGCCCCGAGCUUAACUCGGGAAGUGCUUUUGAUACUGCAGAGCUUGAAUGUGGGAGAGGAUCGUGGAAUUCCAGGUGUAGUGGUGAAAUACGUAGAUAUCUGGAGGAACACCGGUGGCGAAGGCGGCGAUCUGGCCCAACAGUUGACACUGAGACCCGAAAGCGUGGGGAUCAAACAGGAUUAGGAAACCCCA
This 269-nucleotide ribosomal RNA is filed under the name uncultured bacterium. RNAcentral describes it as "partial 16S ribosomal RNA". It matches the Rfam family "Bacterial small subunit ribosomal RNA", at positions 524 to 789 of the family's 1533-position model. The record is from RNAcentral.